Molecule: non-coding RNA, 27 nt
Filed under: Mus musculus (house mouse)
Lineage: Eukaryota; Metazoa; Chordata; Mammalia; Rodentia; Muridae
Source: RNAcentral
UGCUUUCCUCUGCUCAGCAGAUGACUA